RNAcentral lists this transfer RNA (76 nucleotides) under Pseudolabrys sp. RNAcentral's name for it is "tRNA-Lys". It matches the Rfam family "tRNA". From Rfam's summary of the family: Transfer RNA (tRNA) molecules are approximately 80 nucleotides in length. Their secondary structure includes four short double-helical elements and three loops (D, anti-codon, and T loops). Lineage: Bacteria; Pseudomonadati; Pseudomonadota; Alphaproteobacteria; Hyphomicrobiales; Xanthobacteraceae. The record is from RNAcentral.
GGGCGCGUAGCUCAGUUGGUAGAGCGUCGGACUUUUAAUCCGCAGGUCCUGGGUUCGAGUCCCAGCGCGCUCACCA